This 72-nucleotide transfer RNA is filed under the name Rhizoctonia solani AG-8 WAC10335. RNAcentral's name for it is "tRNA-Trp (CCA) (tRNA-Trp-CCA-1-1)". It matches the Rfam family "tRNA". From Rfam's summary of the family: Transfer RNA (tRNA) molecules are approximately 80 nucleotides in length. Their secondary structure includes four short double-helical elements and three loops (D, anti-codon, and T loops). Further hydrogen bonds mediate the characteristic L-shaped molecular structure. tRNAs have two regions of fundamental functional importance: the anti-codon, which is responsible for specific mRNA codon recognition, and the 3' end, to which the tRNAs corresponding amino acid is attached (by aminoacyl-tRNA synthetases). tRNAs cope with the degeneracy of the genetic code in two manners: having more than one tRNA (with a specific anti-codon) for a particular amino acid; and 'wobble' base-pairing, i.e. permitting non-standard base-pairing at the 3rd anti-codon position. Lineage: Eukaryota; Fungi; Basidiomycota; Agaricomycetes; Cantharellales; Ceratobasidiaceae. The record is from RNAcentral.
GACCUCUUAGCUCAGUGGUAGAGCGUGAGAUUCCAGACCUCAAGGUCAUCCGUUCAAAUCGGGUAGGGGUCA